RNAcentral lists this long non-coding RNA (2995 nucleotides) under Fragaria vesca (wild strawberry). RNAcentral's name for it is "long non-coding RNA (FVES_LNC002394)". Lineage: Eukaryota; Viridiplantae; Streptophyta; Magnoliopsida; Rosales; Rosaceae. The record is from RNAcentral.
AUCAAUAUGCAGAAGAGGAAAAAUUUAGCAGAAGAACCCAGACACUAUGCCUCAAAAGAACAAAAUUCCUACAACUUUGAUCUUUAAAAUUCAUUAACAGAUGAUCUCAAUACAUGUUCACAUGCAUACAUGACCAUCUCAAACUUGAAUUCAUAAACUGUAGUCGGUAGUUGGGAACUACCUUCCUCACUCAUAGACCAGUCAGGAAACUUGUAGAUACAAUGUAUAUCAUGCCUCGCUAUAGUGAAAGAUCAUCGGUACCACAUCGGGAAGGUGUUCCUCCAAGCUCCACAAAAAGACACCAUGAUAAUAGUUAUAUGCACUUUGUCCCACAUUGGUAAUAUGUAAUAAGAGGGAACAUUUUUUAGUUAUAAAAAGAAGGCUUCUCAUAUGUAGAAAGGACUGACUUAAUCUCUCUCCCGAUCCCAAAUGCCUAUUGGCCACGAUAGUUGAUUCGUAAGUAAACGUAGUCAUGUCCUCUGAUGGCAUGGUGAACCACUAUAUGUCCUUGUCUCUUGCUCAUGAUUGUCUAUUGUUCGUGUUCCACCAUGAUUCUACAUAGUCCUCGGGAUUAUGCAGAAACAUUUGGUGCCGUUUGUGGGAAUCAUUACGAAAAGUCACAUUGCUCUGCCUCUGAGAGGCAGUUUAUUCAAGUCCAUGAGAGCAAUAGAUCCAUCGGGAGGUACACAAGCACAACAAAGGGCUAGCUAGUCAGUGGGUUGGCAUGCUCCUCGGUAGGCCCAAGACUGUCACCGAGAUCAACAAGUUGUUUAACCAAGUCCAAACUGCCAUCGGGCCCAAGCCAUUAGCAAGUUGUUCACCCAAGGGUUCCUCUCCCGGUGGUAGCCUCCGGUUACAAUCCAAGGAGCGACUUUUCGAGUUCUCGAUUGGCAGAGUCCGGGUCAUACCAGUCAACGAUAGUCGAUGAUCUUGAUCAUGAUUUCAUCAAGGAGCGGGUGUGCAGCCGGCUGUACCUCUCCGGGAUCACCUCCACUCGGCGCCGACCCGAUUAGCUCUCCCGGGCCAAGCUCAUCCAUUGCCGGGCAGGAGUGAUGCGUCGGGAGCCAGGUGGGCCGAGUUCAAAGAGAGAUACUUCUGCCUGGCCGAUCGUCAUCUUGUCCCGGUGACAUCCACCGGCAGUGUCGGUCAAUUGCCCGGCCGGGAUGGGCACCGCUCAAGAAGCUCGGUCAAGGCUCGUCUGGUUUCACCUGCAAAUCCACAUGGUCAAUCUGAAAUCCUAUCUGAAAGAAGCAUAAUGGUGUUGAUCUGGACACCCAGCAUCUUGCUUUGGGCACUCGCACGGCACCUGCAAAAGCUUCUCGGGGAUACAACAAUCGCUUGUUCGUCAUGUUCAAAUGGCAUGGAGUUAUCUGGUGUGCGAGUCAUAGUCCUAUUGAUGAUAGCAACAUGUCAUUCGUUUGCUCUCAGUCGGUGCAGAUCAGUUAAAAGGCACGGAAGAGGAAAUACUCUUGGCACCCUAACAACGAUUGGCCAACUGCUAUGGACACCCAUAUCUUAUCUCCAGAAAAAGUCCUUCCUGGUAGCAAUAAGUCUUGUUCUUCCCGGUGAGUCGGUGACCUCACCUAUGUUCUGAACCUCCCGAACUUGAUGACUCCAGAUUAAAAGAAUUAGCCACCGGGAGCAUAACAAUUGAAGAAGGUAGAGAAUUGACCCCAUGUGAAAGUCAGGGCUCUCCGGGUAUCGAAAGGGGAAGGCUCAGAGCCUCAGUCUAAUAUGCAAGCAGCGGGUCUCGGUGAACCAAAAAAAAAAAAAAACUAUGGACACCCGGAGCUAUUUACCUGGAAAAAGUCAACUAUCUUGUAGGCAGCCCAACUGUACUGGCCAAAAGGAUUCAUCGUCCGAGAGUAGUACGAGCAUGAAUCUAUACCUCCUAUGUGCACCCAUUCGGCAGCUAUUUUCACAGAUAAGUCCCGUCUAGAUUAUGAUUGUUAUAAUCUCGUUGGUUUGUGAAAGUUCGUAAUAUUCUACGUACAAAUCAACUUGUAUAUAUAUGAGUAUGCAUGCUGGGCUGUAGGUUUUGACAUUUGAUCGAGAGGCAUUCCACCGAGAGAGAGGCAUUCGACUGAAAGAGGCAUUCCAUCGAGAGAUUGGCAUUCCACUAAAAGAUUGGCAUUCGACGUUCAGUAUUACACAAUUGCAUGAACCAUUAUGCUCUCCGACAAUUAUUAUGCCAUAACAAUACUCGGUUGGCCCUAUAUUGUGCUGAUCAACUAAAUUUAAGCUGCUAAUCGAUCAUUCGUUCGUUUUGAAGGUACACUAACCCUCGCCCGGCCGAGUAAGAUUUGAGGCCGGGAGUCGGGAGGGGCAUUUUUUAUCUUAUCGGCGGACUUAAAGAUUACGAUAUAUAUCAAGAAAACCAAGAACCAGAAUAAGCAAGACCUGUUCAACACACGUCCUGUGUACGAACUUGGGGGGACUGGGACCGGGUACCCGUUGAUAAAUGACUGGUCUGUGGGCAUUUUAUAUAUUAAGUCCCCACUCAAGACGUGUCUUGAACGGGAACUUGGGGGGACUUGUAGUCGGUAGUUGGGAACUACCUUCCCCGCCCAUAGACCAGUCAGGAAACUUGUAGAUACGAUGUAUAUCCUACCUCGCCAUGGUGAAAGAUCAUCGGUACCACAUCGAGAAGGUGUUCCUCCAAGCUCCACAAGAAGAUACCAUAAUAAUAGUUAUAUGCACUUUGUCCCACAUUGGUAAUAUGUAAUAAGAGGGAACCUUCUUUAGCUAUAAAAGGAAGGCUUCCCAUAUGUAGAAAGGACUGAUUGAAUCUCUCUCUCCCGAUCCCAAAGGCCUAUUGGCCACGAUAGUUGAUUCGUAAGUGGACGUGGCCAUGUCCUCCGAUGGCAUGGUGAACUAUUAUAUAUCCUUGUCUCUUGCUCACGAUUGUCUAUUGUUCGUGUUCAACCAUGAUUCUACAUAGUCCUCAGGAUUAUACAGAAACAUAAACUCAAUUGAAUUUUUCUAAUUUCUNNNN